CCCAAGAUGCAACCUGGCUUUCUGAGGAGCAUCAUGAACAUGUGACAUUGGAUCUUGAAGCAUGACCAGGCCUCUCGUUCAGCCAGCUCCUGUCCACAUUGUGUUCAGUCCUCAGCUGUGAUUUAACCAAGCCUUGGGAGUCAGGAAAGUCAACCAAGAUGCAAAACAAGGGCCACCAGCCAGGACCAAGUGCUCGAGCCUGUGGGGGAUAUUUCACAGUCAACCCACAGCACAGACUUGUGAAAGAACUCAGGGCUGAGGCGCUGACUCCAAUCAUAACGUGCUUUUGGCUUCGAAAGAGACUGCCUUUGUCUUUAAGAAGCAGGAGGCAUGUCAGAUGGUCUGCCCUUCCAGACAGAAGAGUAAAACCCAAAGGCAAACAAAGAAUUAGUCCAAAACAACAUGACUUGCAAUUCAGUGUGACUGUCCGGUUUUGUGUGAAGAGGUGCCUGGUUCCUGCUGUGGCUGGCCUGUGCACCUGGUGUGCAUAGACAGGAUGUCUCAGACAUGUAAUCAUAACUCAGAGGCCAGGAAGCCUCAGCUGUCCAUCAGCCCAGUCUUUACGCCACGUGGUUGUCUAUGGUCAGCAAAAGAGCCUAGAAAAAGAAAACACUGAUUCUCCUUACAUUUUAUAUAGUAACAAUAUCAAUUAAAG
Molecule: long non-coding RNA, 655 nt
Filed under: Cricetulus griseus (Chinese hamster)
Lineage: Eukaryota; Metazoa; Chordata; Mammalia; Rodentia; Cricetidae
Description: lncRNA (ENSCGRG00015040026.1)
Source: RNAcentral